Long non-coding RNA from Lonchura striata (white-rumped munia), 1868 nucleotides. Lineage: Eukaryota; Metazoa; Chordata; Aves; Passeriformes; Estrildidae. The record is from Ensembl.
UCCACAACCACCCCAGGGUCCACCAUGAGCACCUCUGGGACCAACCCAACCACCUCAAGUACCACCUCUUCCACCUCAGAGACCACCAUGAGCUCCUCAGGGACCACCACCAGCACCCCAGGGACCCAAACAACCAUCUCGGGGACCACCACAAUCACCCCAGUGACCACCACGACCAUGCCAGUGACCACCUCCUCCACCUCAGGGACCUCCACAACCACCUCUGGGACCAUCCCAACCACCUCGGAGACCACCAAGACCACCUCAAAGACCUCCACAACCACCUCAGGUGUCACCACAAUCUCCUCAGGAGCCACCACAGCCAUCCCAGGGACCACCUCCACCAGCUCCGGGACCACUCCAACCACUCCAUUGACCACCACAAGCAACCCAGGGACCACCUCCUUCACUUCUGGGACCACCACAACCAACCCAGGGAUCACCACAACCAUUACAUGGACCUCCACGACCACCUCCGGGACCACCCCAAUGUCCUCAGGGACCACCACAACCAACUCUGAGACCACCACAACAAUCCCGGGUACCACCACGACCACUCCAGAGACCACCACGACCACUCCAGGAACCACCAUGACCAACUCGGGGACCACCCCUACCACUUCAGGGACCACCACGUCCACCUCUGGGACCACCACGGUCAUCUCAGCGACCACCACAGCCACCCCAUGGACCACCUCCUCCACCUCAGGGACCAUCCCAACCACCUCUGCGACCACCCUAACAACCUCAGGGUCCACCACGACCACCUCAGGGUCCACCACAACCAGCCCUGGGACCACCACCUCCACAUCAGGGACCACCACGACCACACCAGGGACCAUCACAACCUCCUCGGGGACCACCUCCACCUCUGCGACCACCCCAGCCACCUCUGAGACCAUCCAAACAACCUCAGGGUCCACCACAAGCACCCCAGGAACAUCUACAACCAUCCCAAGUACCACCACAACCACCUCAGGGUCCAGCACAACCAACUCUGUGACCACCACGACCGUCCCUGGUAUCACCACGACCACCCCAGUGACCACCAAAACCACCGCAGCAACCACCUCUUCCAGCCCCUGGACCACCGCAACCACCCCAGGGACCACCACGACCAUCCCAGGGACCUCCAUGACCUCCUCAGGGACCACCACAACCAACUCUGGGACAACCACGUCCACUGCAGGUACCACCACAACCAUUACAGGGACCUCCACGACCUCAUCAGGGACCACCUCCUCCACCCCAUGGACCACCACAACCAUCCCAGGGACCACCACGACUAUCCCAGGGAUCAUCACGACCCUUACAGAGACCACCACGACCACCCCAUGGACCACCACAAUCAUCUCAGGGACCACUACGACCACCCUGGGUGCCACCACGACCACCCCAAGGACCACGUCCUCCACCUCUGGGACCGCCACAACAAACUUAGGUACCACCACAGCCCUCCCGGGUACCACCAUGACCCCCCCAGUGACCUCCACAGUCACCUCAGGGACCACCACGACCACUCCAGGGACCACGUCCUCCACCCCAGGGACCUCCACAACCAUCUCAGGGACCUCCACGACCAACUCUGGGACCCCCAUCACAAUCCCAGGUAUCACCACGGCCACUCCAGGGACCACCACAACCACCUCAGUGACCUCCUCGAGCACCCAGAGGACCUCCACAGCAAUGUCCACCACUCCAGGGACCACCCCAACCACCCUUUGGACCACCACUGCUCCUCCUUUAGGGCUGUGUGAGAACGGGGGGACUUUUGCUGGCACCGGUUGUCUCUGCAGCCCGUCCUACGCCGGUCCACGCUGCGAGUUCUCCACCGACACCGUGGAGACCAACCUGCGUGAGUGGUGGCC